CCCUCUUGAAGGAGAAGCCUUGAGUUGUGCAUCUUCUCUUGAUUUUACUGAGGUAUGGUAGCUAUAGCAAACUGCCUACUGCCUUUUUUUUUAACUUUUGCUCUCAGUGGCUCCAAGGCAUCGAAACUAUGCUAGUUCCAUGAGUGCUCCAAGUGAGGCAAGACAGAGACUAGUCCCUUGGGCAGCCCUCUGAAGAGCCAGAAUGCCAACACAUGCUCCACUCUUCUCCCUCCUUGCCAAGGAAGAAGUCUUAACUUGUGCACUUCCUCCCCCAAUUGUGCCAUGCUGUGCCAACCAUAUCAAGCCACCUGCUGCUUUCCAUUGUCCUCAGUGACCCCCAGACAUUCAAAUUAUGCUAGUUCUGUGGGCACACCAAUCAAGGAAGUAAGAGACCUGUUUCUUGGGCAGCUCUCUGAAAAGCUGGAAUGUUGGAGGCAUGCUCUAUUCUUUUCUCCCAGAGGAAAAAGAUGUGAAGAGGCAUUCUGUCUUGGCACUGAGCUGUGCUAACUUGGGGGAGAGGCUGAUGCAGAUCGUGUAGACUUCAAUUGGCAGAGUUACUCAGUAUUAUUUACUUGGAAAAUCCUCUGUAACCUAAAAGUCCUAGCUCUCCUGACACUAAGGAUGACAAUGGAACACUUAAAUGGUAGCUGCCUAUGAAGGGCUGUCCCUCUACCCCCUUGUUCCCUCUGAAUCUGAAGCUAUUAGCCACUUACAAUCUUAAUAAACUAAAA
Homo sapiens (human) is the source of this 731-nucleotide long non-coding RNA. Lineage: Eukaryota; Metazoa; Chordata; Mammalia; Primates; Hominidae. The record is from Ensembl.